GUCGUCACCACGAGUAUUGUCCUCCUCAAUUUGAAUUUCAACAGUGUCAUUAUUAUAUAUGUUAUUCUUUCUUUCCCUUUUCUGUUUCCAGCCACCUUCUCUGUUAAGGCCAAACCGCAGCCAAUCUUUAGCUGCAUCAUCUAUCUCCUUAUCUGAAGACUCUUUACAGCUACGGUUUUUUCUAACCAACUCUGUAAUAAAGUUAUAAGUAA
RNAcentral lists this long non-coding RNA (212 nucleotides) under Mytilus galloprovincialis (Mediterranean mussel). The record is from RNAcentral. Lineage: Eukaryota; Metazoa; Mollusca; Bivalvia; Mytilida; Mytilidae.